UGAAUACGAGACGCUAAGGCGUCGAAGUAGUGUAUGUCAUACUUCCAAGAAAAGCUUGCACUGUCAUAGAUAAAAAACGCCUGUACCAUAACCGACACAGGUGGGUAGGUAGAGUAUACUAAGGGCGCGAGAUAACUCUCUCUAAGGAACUCGGCAAAAUAACUCCGUAACUUCGGGAGAAGGAGUGCCUUAUUCGUAAGGUUGCAAUAACAAGAUCCAAGCAACUGUUUAUCAAAAACACAGGUCUCCGCUAAGUCGUAAGACGAUGUAUGGGGGCUGACGCCUGCCCAGUGCCAGAAGGUUAAAGAAGUUGGUUAGCAAUUGCGAAGCUGAUAACUGAAGCCCUGGUGAACGGCGGCCGUAACUAUAACGGUCCUAAGGUAGCGAAAUUCCUUGUCGGGUAAGUUCCGACCCGCACGAAAGGCGUAAUGAUUUGGAUACUGUCUCGGAGAGGGGCUCGGUGAAAUAGACUUGUCUGUGAAGAUGCGGACUACCUGCACCAGGACAGAAAGACCCUAUGAAGCUUUACUGUAACUUGAAAUUGAAAUUGGACUUUAUUCGCGCAGUAUAGGUGGGAGGCGUUGAUUAUAAUCUUGUGGGAUUAUUGGAGCCAUCAGUGAGAUACCACUCUUGUAAUGUUAGAUUUCUAACUUUGAAUCAUUAUCUGGUCAAAGAACAGUUUCAGGCGGGCAGUUUGACUGGGGCGGUCGCCUCCUAAACGGUAACGGAGGCGUACAAAGGUUUCCUCUGAACGGUUAGAAAUCGUAUCUAGAGUGUAAAGGCAUAAGGAAGCUUGACUGUGAGACCUACAAGUCGAGCAGGGACGAAAGUCGGUCUUAGUGAUCUGACGGUACUGAGUGGAAAGGCCGUCACUCAACGGAUAAAAGUUACUCUAGGAUAACAGGCUGAUCUCCCCCAAGAGUUCACAUCGACGGGGAGGUUUGGUACCUCGAUGCCGGCUCAUCGCAUCCUGGGGCGGUAGUACGUCCCAAGGGUUGGGCUGUUCGCCCAUGAAAGCGGUACGCGAGCUGGGUUCAGAACGUCGUGAGACAGUUCGGUCCAUAUCCGGUGUAGGCGUUAGAAUAUUGAGAGGAGCCUUCUUUAGUACGAGAGGACCGAGAAGGACAUACCUCUGGUGUACCAGUUAUCGUGCCAACGGUAAACGCUGGGUAGCUAUGUAUGGAGUGGAUAACCGCUGAAAGCAUCUAAGUGGGAAGCCCACCUCAAGAUAAGUAUUCUC
Molecule: ribosomal RNA, 1240 nt
Filed under: metagenome
Description: bacterial LSU rRNA
Rfam family: Bacterial large subunit ribosomal RNA
Source: RNAcentral